CCCUUAGACGUUCUGGGCCGCACGCGCGCUACACUGACCAGUGCAACAAGCAUCCGUCCUUGGCCGACAGGCCCGGGCAAUCUUUGAACGCCGGUCGUGAUGGGGAUAGACUUUUGCAAUUUUUGGUCUUCAACGAGGAAUUCCUAGUAAACGCAAGUCAUCAACUUGCAUUGAUUACGUCCCUGCCCUUUGUACACACCGCCCGUCGCACCUACCGAUUGAAUGGUCCGGUGAAGCCUCCGGAUUGGCGCGCACCUCGGUGCCGCCGAGAAGUUGGCUAAACCUUACCAUUUAGAGGAAGGUGAAGUCGUAACA
RNAcentral lists this ribosomal RNA (315 nucleotides) under uncultured eukaryote. RNAcentral describes it as "partial 18S ribosomal RNA". It matches the Rfam family "Eukaryotic small subunit ribosomal RNA", at positions 1470 to 1796 of the family's 1831-position model. The record is from RNAcentral.